GGGCACUUUUCUGGACCUGGCUGGCCUCUUCCGUGACCAUGCACAUGGGUCAAGAGCAGUGCAAGAUCAUGUCAUGUCUUGUCAUAACUGGGGUUUCUUGGCCUUAAUUUACCAAGUCUCUCUUUUAAAGCAAGACACACUC
RNAcentral lists this small nucleolar RNA (142 nucleotides) under Amphilophus citrinellus (Midas cichlid). Lineage: Eukaryota; Metazoa; Chordata; Actinopteri; Cichliformes; Cichlidae. The record is from RNAcentral.